This 330-nucleotide ribosomal RNA is filed under the name uncultured bacterium. RNAcentral's name for it is "bacterial SSU rRNA". It matches the Rfam family "Bacterial small subunit ribosomal RNA", at positions 29 to 376 of the family's 1533-position model. The record is from RNAcentral.
AACGAACGCUGGCGGCAUGCCUUACACAUGCAAGUCGAACGCGAAAGUGUCUUCGGACAUUAGUAGAGUGGCAAACGGGUGAGUAACGCGUGGGAACAUACCUUAUAGUACGGGAUAGCCUCGGGAAACCGGGAUUAAUACCGUAUAUUCCCUAAGGGGAAAGAUUUAUCGCUAUAAGAUUGGCCCGCGUCAGAUUAGCUAGUUGGUGGGGUAACAGCCUACCAAGGCAACGAUCUGUAGCUGGUCUGAGAGGACGAUCAGCCACAUUGGGACUGAGACACGGCCCAAACUCCUACGGGAGGCAGCAGUGGGGAAUAUUGGACAAUAGGA